This 908-nucleotide unclassified non-coding RNA is filed under the name Hevea brasiliensis (rubber tree). The record is from RNAcentral. Lineage: Eukaryota; Viridiplantae; Streptophyta; Magnoliopsida; Malpighiales; Euphorbiaceae.
GAAAAGAACCGAUCGGCAUGGAGCAGAGGAAGCUGUUCUUGGACCACAUGUCCUUGAAUUAUUUUCAUCUGGGCAAUAGAUUAUGAAACAACCGCUGGUCAAACAAACAAGGGGUUUCUAUAGAACAACGCAUAAAUAGAUUCUGCAAUGGGAACAAAGCAUAUGCAAUCUAAUUCUAGCAUGGUUGGAAGAGUCUCAAAAAGCCACAAAAUGCUGUGCAAAGCUGUUGAUAGACCUAGCAAAGAACUUCAACAGCCAUCUCCUAGAAGUUUGGUGACUGCAUCAUCAAAGAAUCUAGAUUCAACAGCAUCAACAAGAGUAGCUUGCUGCAGAAGUCGAAGAUUUUGUACUUGUAAAAGUUGUAUGGAGUAUGGCCGACAUAAUGAGAUUAGCCUAAGAUUGGUUCAGAAGAAUGAAGCGGCUGAGCCAUUUUCAAGUAAAAAGUUUGUUGGUGUGGCUGAUAAACAGUGUAAACAAUUAUUAGAUGCAUUGGGAAUUUUCAAUUCAAAUAAGGAAUUGUUUGUAAAUCUACUACAAGACCCAAAUUCUCUGUUAAUUAAACGUAUUGAAGACUCUACUGAUUCAAGGAACAGAAAACAGCAGAUGAUGACUUUCUUUGAUAGUAGGUUGUCUGGAAACAAGAUAAGAGAAGUGGGGGAAUAUGAGGAGCCUGACUACAGUAAAAAAUUGAAGCCCUGUGAUAGAUUACCCACUGAGGAUAGCGAUGAUUCUCUAUCCUUGGAAAGAAUAGUGGUAUUAAAGCCAAAUCCAACUGUCUCACUACCUGCGGCUGUGGGAACCAAUCAUUGCCCCUCUCUGAAAUCUCAUUCUAGUUUCAUAAAGAAUGGGCAAAGUGACAAGAGAACUCUUUUUUCUUUUAGACAAAUAAAGAGGAAGAUGAACCAAGC